This 399-nucleotide ribosomal RNA is filed under the name uncultured bacterium. RNAcentral's name for it is "bacterial SSU rRNA". It matches the Rfam family "Bacterial small subunit ribosomal RNA", at positions 28 to 424 of the family's 1533-position model. The record is from RNAcentral.
GACGAACGCUGGCGGCGUGCCUAACACAUGCAAGUCGAACGGGGUUACGAGAGCUUGCUCUUGUAACUUAGUGGCGAACGGGUGAGUAACGCGUGAGAAACCUGCCUCUCAGUGGGGGACAACAGUUGGAAACGACUGCUAAUACCGCAUAAUGUCAUCGAGCGGCAUCGCUUGAUGACCAAAGAUUUAUUGCUGAAAGAUGGCCUCGCGUCUGAUUAGCUAGUUGGUGGGGUAACGGCCCACCAAGGCGACGAUCAGUAGCCGGUCUGAGAGGAUGAACGGCCACAUUGGGACUGAGAUACGGCCCAGACUCCUACGGGAGGCAGCAGUGGGGAAUAUUGGGCAAUGGGGGAAACCCUGACCCAGCAACGCCGCGUGAAGGAAGAAGGCCUUCGGGUU